UGACAAUGUACUGCAUGUAAAGCUCCAACCUAUGACCGAAAGCAUGAUUUGAUAGACAGAGGGGUUCACACAGGAGGCUUUGAAAAUGGCCCCCAGAGGAUUGAUUUUCAAAGGCACAGAAAGCAAAGGAUGAGUAAAGCACAAGUGUACUUUAGAUUGGCUCAUCUGUUUACCAUGAUUGUGCACACAACUGGGACUGCAGCUGCAGAAAACAUCAGUCCUCGACUGGGUUUCAAGGUAAGAGAUGACUCAUUUUGUUACCAGACAUCUAAAUAA
This 276-nucleotide long non-coding RNA is filed under the name Crocodylus porosus (Australian saltwater crocodile). Its description in RNAcentral is "lncRNA (ENSCPRG00005005468.1)". Lineage: Eukaryota; Metazoa; Chordata; Crocodylia; Crocodylidae. The record is from RNAcentral.